GGGGUGGCCUCCAGAGAACCAGGAAGACCGGCCUCUCACAUCCGCCUACCUGGCAACCGCAGAUUCUGACCUAGAAGACAGGGAUGGUGAAACCCAGCCAGUGAGGGUGCGGGCCGCUAGGACACCAAGGGUUGAGAACAUUGAUUCCAGGCAGGUCCACUGUGUGGAGCUUGCAUGUUCUUCCCUUUGGGUUUUCUCCUGGUUUUCCUCCCAGCCCAGACAUGCAGCUCAGGGAUCCACAGCCCUCUCCUGGGCACCUGCAGGAUCCGGCGCUGUUCUGGAGAAGCCCGUUGUAGACACUGUACCACCAGCCAGCUGCACUUGUUGUCCUGGAUGUCAGUGCCAAUCUUGCCCGUCACACUGGAGUCCCCGAAGAGAUCAAGGUAAUCAUCCUGGGCAGGGGAGCAGAGAAGGAGAUGAAGAUACUCCCCAAGGCGGGGAAGGAGGGAAGCUGGAGCCUGUUCUCUGCCAGUGCCUCCCGCCUUCCUACCUGGAUCUGAAAGAGCUCUCCAAUCUCCAUCAGGAUCUUCUUGGCAUUGGCGUGUUCCUUCUCCCCGUCAAUGCCUGCCUACAGUGAAAAGGGGAUUGACAGGCGAAGCAUCAGAGGCACCUUCAUCUUCCUGACUGCUUCCUCCCACAGGUUCUUGCUCAAGGUUAGCCCCUAAAUCUUCUCUGUCUCCUCAGACAUCCCUGGCUUCCCUGGCCUAAGAAGUCCCGGCUGGUGGUCCAACCUCUAUCUCACUUAAUUUUAGCUAGGCCUUCCUGCAGGCAGAAAUUAGUCCAUUCUGGAGGCCCUCAGACCAUCUCUUUUUUCAUGAAGUUCAGUCCAGGAGUCACAGAUUCUUCUUCAUAA
Pipistrellus kuhlii (Kuhl's pipistrelle) is the source of this 853-nucleotide long non-coding RNA. RefSeq lists it as uncharacterized. The record is from RefSeq and is a predicted model, not a curated record. Lineage: Eukaryota; Metazoa; Chordata; Mammalia; Chiroptera; Vespertilionidae. The transcript has 3 exons.